Molecule: ribosomal RNA, 253 nt
Filed under: uncultured bacterium
Lineage: Bacteria
Description: partial 16S ribosomal RNA
Rfam family: Bacterial small subunit ribosomal RNA
Source: RNAcentral
UACGGAGGGUGCAAGCGUUGUCCGGAUUUAUUGGGUUUAAAGGGUGCGUAGGCGGCCGUUUAAGUCCGGGGUGAAAGCCCACUGCUCAACAGUGGAACUGCCCCGGAAACUGGACGGCUUGAGUACAGACGAGGUUGGCGGAAUGGAGGGUGUAGCGGUGAAAUGCAUAGAUACCCUCCAGAACCCCGAUUGCGAAGGCAGCUGACUAGGCUGUAACUGACGCUGAGGCACGAAAGCGUGGGGAGCGAACAGG